UACGGGGGGGGCAAGCGUUGUUCGGAAUUAGUGGGAGUAAAGGGGUCGUAGGUGGCAAAUUAAGUAAAACGUGAAAUCCCUCGGCUUAACCGGGGAACUGCGUGUGAUACUGGAUGGCUUGAGUUUGGGAGAGGGAUGCGGAAUUCCAGGUGUAGCGGUGAAAUGCGUAGAUAUCUGGAGGAACACCGGUGGCGAAGGCGGCAUCCUGGACCAAUACUGACGCUGAGGAGCGAAAGCCAGGGGAGCAAACGGG
RNAcentral lists this ribosomal RNA (253 nucleotides) under uncultured bacterium. Its description in RNAcentral is "partial 16S ribosomal RNA". It matches the Rfam family "Bacterial small subunit ribosomal RNA", at positions 524 to 776 of the family's 1533-position model. The record is from RNAcentral.